Molecule: transfer RNA, 66 nt
Filed under: Enterococcus caccae
Lineage: Bacteria; Bacillati; Bacillota; Bacilli; Lactobacillales; Enterococcaceae
Also listed under: 1 other name
Rfam family: tRNA
About the family: Transfer RNA (tRNA) molecules are approximately 80 nucleotides in length. Their secondary structure includes four short double-helical elements and three loops (D, anti-codon, and T loops). Further hydrogen bonds mediate the characteristic L-shaped molecular structure. tRNAs have two regions of fundamental functional importance: the anti-codon, which is responsible for specific mRNA codon recognition, and the 3' end, to which the tRNAs corresponding amino acid is attached (by aminoacyl-tRNA synthetases). tRNAs cope with the degeneracy of the genetic code in two manners: having more than one tRNA (with a specific anti-codon) for a particular amino acid; and 'wobble' base-pairing, i.e. permitting non-standard base-pairing at the 3rd anti-codon position.
Source: RNAcentral
UCGUUAGCUCAGUUGGUAGAGCAGCUGACUCUUAAUCAGCGGGUCAUGGGUUCGAGCCCCUUACGA